Molecule: ribosomal RNA, 328 nt
Filed under: uncultured eukaryote
Lineage: Eukaryota
Description: partial 18S ribosomal RNA
Rfam family: Eukaryotic small subunit ribosomal RNA
Source: RNAcentral
CCCUUAGAUGUUCUGGGCUGCACGCGCGCUACACUGAUGCGCUCAACGAGUUUUAACCUUGCCUGGAAAGGUUGGGUAAUCUUUUUAAAACGCAUCGUGAUGGGGAUAGAUUAUUGCAAUUAUUAAUCUUCAACGAGGAAUUCCUAGUAAGCGCGAGUCAUCAGCUCGUGCUGAUUACGUCCCUGCCCUUUGUACACACCGCCCGUCGCUCCUACCGAUUGAGUGUGUUGGUGAGGAGUUUGGAUUGGCCUCGGAAGGUGGUUCGCCACCGUCCGUAGCUGAGAAGUUCUCCAAACCGCCCCACUUAGAGGAAGGAGAAGUCGUAACA